AGCCUGUAGUCUAGUGGCUAAGAUGCAUGACUGGGACCCCUGAGGUUGGUGGUUCCACCCAGGGCUG
Albula goreensis is the source of this 67-nucleotide non-coding RNA. NCBI's taxonomy places the organism in Eukaryota, Metazoa, Chordata, Actinopteri, Albuliformes, Albulidae. The record is from the annotation of a GenBank genome assembly.